CCUGUGACAUACCACUUGUUGCCUCGGCGGAUCAGCCCGCUCCCGGUAAAACGGGACGGCCCGCCAGAGGACCCCUAAACUCUGUUUCUAUAUGUAACUUCUGAGUAAAACCAUAAAUAAAUCAAAACUUUCAACAACGGAUCUCUUGGUUCUGGCAUCGAUGAAGAACGCAGCAAAAUGCGAUAAGUAAUGUGAAUUGCAGAAUUCAGUGAAUCAUCGAAUCUUUGAACGCACAUUGCGCCCGCCAGUAUUCUGGCGGGCAUGCCUGUUCGAGCGUCAUUUCAACCCUCAAGCACAGCUUGGUGUUGGGACUCGCGUUAAUUCGCGUUCCUCAAAUUGAUUGGCGGUCACGUCGAGCUUCCAUAGCGUAGUAGUAAAACCCUCGUUACUGGUAAUCGUCGCGGCCACGCCGUUAAACCCCAACUUCUGAAUGUUGACCUCGGAUCAGGUAGGAAUACCCGCUGAACUUAAGCAUAUCA
Molecule: ribosomal RNA, 479 nt
Filed under: Fusarium oxysporum
Lineage: Eukaryota; Fungi; Ascomycota; Sordariomycetes; Hypocreales; Nectriaceae
Description: eukaryotic LSU rRNA
Rfam family: 5.8S ribosomal RNA (bases 126-279)
Source: RNAcentral